Molecule: non-coding RNA, 107 nt
Organism: Acanthosepion pharaonis
Lineage: Eukaryota; Metazoa; Mollusca; Cephalopoda; Sepiida; Sepiidae
Source: the annotation of a GenBank genome assembly
UAUGACCAUAUCAUGUUGAAACACCAGUUCCUGUAUGAUCACUGAAGUUAAACAAUGUCAAAACUGGUCAGUACCUAGAUGGGUGACCACUUGGGUAUACAGGUGCU